Medicago truncatula (barrel medic) is the source of this 861-nucleotide long non-coding RNA. RefSeq lists it as uncharacterized. NCBI's taxonomy places the organism in Eukaryota, Viridiplantae, Streptophyta, Magnoliopsida, Fabales, Fabaceae. The transcript has 2 exons. The record is from RefSeq and is a predicted model, not a curated record.
AUUUGCCGUACGUAAGACACCGACAAGUUGAAAUACCAUACUUAAGGAUUGCAGAGAUCCAAGGGGAUCCUUUUUCGAUUCAUCCGGAUUCCUCGAUACAUUCUAUCAGAGCCGCAAUGGAAGAUUUCGGUUGUUUAGUUGGUGCAUUUGAAUAUGAUGCCACUUUUGACCUUUAUCUUGGUGUGAGUAAAAUAACUUUUCUUAGCUUUUGAAUGCAAUGUUAUUUAAUAUUAUUUUCUAAGUUAAUUUUUUUUUUCUUAGCCACCAAAUGUCUAUUUCAUUGCACCUGCUGAAGGAGGUGUGAAUCGACCUCUCCAUUAUGUUUUGAUAUGUGGUGUGGGUAGUCUGGAUGAUGCGGAUGAUGGGAGACCAUUUCUGCAAAUCCAAAAUUCUUUUGGCACCAAUUGGGGCAAUGGUGGUUAUGGCUACAUAGCCAAGGAUUUGUUCCACCAUAUCCAUGGUCUGAGGGGGGUUACACUUUUCAGAGAGGAAGGGAGUUGUCCUCCACUUUAUCUAGUGCACCCACAAAGUCUCUGCUUCAUAAGGUGCAGAGAGGCUCGUAAGCAUUGCUCCAAAAUCUUCAUCCAACAAGGCUGCUUAGAAGACUUAUGUAAUUGGUUCAUGCUAUGUUGUUUGCCUUUUUUACUUUUGUUGCUUAUAUUUCUAUGAAGCUAUACUAUGAAUAUCAUUUGUGAAACUUAGAAGACGUAAUGUUUUAAUGCUGGUGAAUCGAGUAGACUAUGAACACCUAAAUGUAUAUCCCACAUUAGCGAGACAUAGUUGUGUGUAUGGCUGUAUGCUCAUAUUCUAGACUUUUUUUUAGACUAUAUAUAUAAUAUGUGAUGUUUUUGACGUUGAACA